UCCGCGGCCGGCUAUGACAACAGUCAAUGUGCAUGACAAGUUACAGGU
This 48-nucleotide small RNA is filed under the name Mycobacterium tuberculosis H37Rv. Its description in RNAcentral is "Fragment of putative small regulatory RNA". The record is from RNAcentral. RNAcentral also lists the same sequence under 1 other name. Lineage: Bacteria; Bacillati; Actinomycetota; Actinomycetes; Mycobacteriales; Mycobacteriaceae.